UAAAAGUUAGGAGCUCAUGCGCUAGGGCUAAGAAUAAAAAAAAGGAGAAGGGCGUGGGCCCCCCCUCCCCCCUCUUAUGAUAUUCCUUAUGUGCCGUAUUCUCUCCUUCUCUCCAAUGAUCCAGCCGUGAACCCCCCCCCCCCCUUCAGCCUCCUUGGAGCUGCAAGAAAAAAAAAGGAGGAGAAGAAAGAUAGGUGGCAGGUGACCCAUCUUUUCUCUCUUGGGCCCGCUUGACAAUCCCCUCCUUUGGAAGUACGUGGGAUUUUUCUCCUCCCUUUUGUGCCGUGAACCCAUCUCUCCCUCUUGGGUUUCAGCCACCAGCAAGCAAAGAAAAGGAAGGAGGCAUGCAGCCCUUCCUCCCUCUCUUCUUUUGGUUCCAAAAGAAAAGGAAAAGGAAAAGGCUGCAAAGGGGUUUUGCCUUCUUCCUUUUGAUCUAUCCUUCUUCCUCCUCUCUAAGGCAAUCAAGAGUUGAUUCAAAAGAGANN
This 485-nucleotide long non-coding RNA is filed under the name Phoenix dactylifera (date palm). RNAcentral describes it as "long non-coding RNA (PDAC_LNC010684)". The record is from RNAcentral. Lineage: Eukaryota; Viridiplantae; Streptophyta; Magnoliopsida; Arecales; Arecaceae.